This 624-nucleotide long non-coding RNA is filed under the name Equus caballus (horse). RNAcentral describes it as "lncRNA (ENSECAG00000048844.1)". Lineage: Eukaryota; Metazoa; Chordata; Mammalia; Perissodactyla; Equidae. The record is from RNAcentral.
GCUGAAGCCAUAAACUUCAAACCGAAUGUAACGAGAGUUCUCACUGAGCAAGGAAAAUGAAGUCAAGCUAGAGGAAAAGUGGUUCAUAUUUUUUAGAUGGGACUAUGAAAAAUUUAAGCCAACUCACAUGGCAUUUUAGAGAUGCUCAGAAGUUUAAAGAGGCUUCCUUCAAACCAGGAUCAUAAAAAUAGUUAUCCAUAUUUUCUUCUAUUAAUUUCAAGCCUUCAAGAUAACUUUUAAAUUGUUGAUCCGUCUGGAAUUUAUUUUGGUAUAAAAGUAAGAGGAAAUUCUGCCUGUGGAUGACAGCUUCAGCCCAUGCCUUUGAAGUUCCAUCCUGCUUGUGAGCUUCUCUUCCUGCCUGCCAGUGGAUGAGAACUUCCUCCUGUGCCCAUGAAUUUGAGCCUGCUCCUGAUCUCCCUUCCUGACGGCCUGUGCUAUGAAUUUCAGACUUGCUCAGCCAGCCCCCAGGGGGAAGACAGCUACCUGUGGACCAGGAAGUGGCUCUCACCAGACACCAAAUCUGCUUCCACCUUGAUCUUGGACUUCCCAGCCUCUAGAACUGUGAGUAAUAAAUUUCUCUUGUUUAUAAACUACCUAGUCUGUGGUAUUCUGUUAGAGCAGCCU